UGGUUACCUCCACCAGGAAACCAUGUGAAAAUCAAUGUUGACGCGGCAGUCUUUAGGCAUGGCGGGUUUGGAACCGUUGGAGCAGUAUGUAGAGACCAAGGAGGCUCCUUCGUGGGCGCAUCUACUCUUUUCUUUCCGCGCCUGGAUGAUCCGGCUACCCUAAAGGUGUUGGUUAUGAGGGAAGUCAUGGCUCUUGCUGAGGAUUUGCAUGUACAACACAUCUUCAUUGCCUCAGACUGUAAAGUAAUCAUGGAGGAAAUCAAGAAGGGGAGCUCGGCCACAUAUGGAGCUGUCAUUACAGAAAUUCAAGACCGUUCUUUAGUUUUCUCUCUAGUAUUUUUAGUCAUAAGUUCAGAACCUCGAAUGUGGAGGCUCACAAUCUCGCAAAGCAUGGUCUUAGUUUAG
Molecule: ribosomal RNA, 405 nt
Filed under: Triticum aestivum (bread wheat)
Lineage: Eukaryota; Viridiplantae; Streptophyta; Magnoliopsida; Poales; Poaceae
Description: partial small subunit ribosomal RNA
Source: RNAcentral